GAUGAACGCUGGCGGCGUGCCUAAUACAUGCAAGUCGAGCGAACAGACGAGGAGCUUGCUCCUCUGACGUUAGCGGCGGACGGGUGAGUAACACGUGGAUAACCUACCUAUAAGACUGGGAUAACUUCGGGAAACCGGAGCUAAUACCGGAUAAUAUAUUGAACCGCAUGGUUCAAUAGUGAAAGACGGUUUUGCUGUCACUUAUAGAUGGAUCCGCGCCGCAUGAGCUAGUUGGUAAGGUAAAGGCUUACCAAGGCAACGAUGCGUAGCCGACCUGAGAGGGGGAUCGGCCACACUGGAACUGAGACACGGUCCAGACUCCUACGGGAGGCAGCAGUAGGGAAUCUUCCGCAAUGGGCGAAAGCCUGACGGAGCAACGCCGCGUGAGUGAUGAAGGUCUUCGGAUCGUAAAGCUCUGUUAUUAGGGAAGAACAAAUGUGUAAGUAACUAUGCACGUCUUGACGGUACCUAAUCAGAAAGCCACGGCUAACUACGUG
RNAcentral lists this ribosomal RNA (497 nucleotides) under uncultured bacterium. Its description in RNAcentral is "partial 16S ribosomal RNA". It matches the Rfam family "Bacterial small subunit ribosomal RNA", at positions 28 to 507 of the family's 1533-position model. The record is from RNAcentral.